Taeniopygia guttata (zebra finch) is the source of this 3717-nucleotide long non-coding RNA. Lineage: Eukaryota; Metazoa; Chordata; Aves; Passeriformes; Estrildidae. The record is from Ensembl.
UUUUUUUUUUUUUUUUUUUUUUUGUUACUGCCUUUUAUUUUUUAUCUACUUACAAUAAUCUGAGAACAAAGAAACUGAUAAAAAAAAAGGGGGCUCUUUUAAAACCCAGGACAUCAGAAUAAGGCUAGUCAGCUUUCCUUAGUGGACAAAGUGAAAGAGAAAUGUUCUAUUCCUUAAAGUGCGAGGAAGUAAAGGUUUCUCAAAGUCAGGGUAAUACAGCAGGUGACAGAGAGCACAUAGCCUACAGGCACGUCUACAGGCCAUUCACGUUCUCCUUACACUGGCUGUUAAAAGGAUGUUUUAUCCUGAGGCAAAGCUACACUGAAAGAGUUAAAAACCGCUUUAGAACAUCAUGUGUCAUGUCUCAGCACUUCAGAAAAACUGCUGAAGUGUUGCAAUACAUAUCAUGCUUUUUCUUCAUUUUGUUUAUUUUAUGUAAGAAAUUGUGCUUAAGCUUGAUCUAAAGCUUGAUCAAUCCUCAGCACUUUUCCUUGUUGUAUUUAAUUUUUUAGUAUUAUUUUCUUUUAGCACUUAUAUCAACAAACUGCAGACUAAACCAAAUAAAUUUAGUAUCCCAAACUGAAAAACAUUGAAAAAUAUUAAAAUUGCCUUACAGAUUAAGAAUAACUUCAGACAGUUAUCUAGUAGCUGAAGAUUGGCAUAGGUCCAUGAAACCAAUAGUACUACACUGAUUUACUUCAUUAGAGAUGCUGUCAAAAGAUAUUUGGGGGCUAAAGAAAGAAAAAAAUAAACCUAAAAAAUAAGCAUAUAAGGCAAAACGAAAAAGACCAGAAUUUUCACAAAAUUUAGAAUUUAUAAAAAGAUUAUCUUGAUUUGAAACAGCAGGGAAAUUAUAAGCAUUAAUGUUCCAACUACUGUAACUGGUAACAGUACUAAAAAAAAGAAAGUGAACAAAAGAGUCUUGUUUAUAUCAGGAUAGUAUGACCCAAGACCUUUCUCUGGCCUUUGAGAGCAUCUCUGUAUGAGGAGCUAGUCAGGAGUCCAACUGAAAGGACUGUGAGGAAACUGGCUACUGUUAUAAAACAUCUCUUGCAAAUAGGCAGGAACAAGUUUUGGAUCUAAAGUAAAAUAGAAUCUGUCAGAGGGGAAACUAAAAAAAAAAGAUUUAGUCUCUGUUUGCACAUAAAUUUUACAAUCUCAUGCAAGAUGGCAAAGAAAAAAAGCAGUGUUCUAACUGUCUGAAUCUGGAAGCAAGCUAAGGGGGAGUUGUUCUUGCAAGAAAAAGGCAGCAUGGAGUUUUGUCAAUAUUCACCAUCCGAGAACAGAGGAAAGCAGGUUGCUAGUCCAAGAUGGCGGGCUGUGUAGGAGAGUCAACCUGAAGUAACCUGAAGUUGUUUAGACCUGACCCCUGAACAAAUUAGAAUUCUUUCCAGGCUGAAUGAGUGAUUCCUGACCCUAAAAUUUUUUACUGAUGUACUUCAGAACUUGUAGAUUUGUAUAGAAGGCACUAUCACACAUACUUGGCCAAAUCAUAGUGGUCAAGUCAAAUCCUCCUGGGCAAAGACCCUCUCUAAUUGUUACCUUAUGGCUUUUGCCACACAGCUUUCAGCCUGCAGAGGAGAAAGGAGGAACAUCUACCCAGCUGCAUGGCCUUUGGAGCCACAAAAUCACUCAGGGUAGAAAAGGCCUAUAAGAGCAUUGAGCUGAACUGGAAACCUAUCAAUGUGUGGGAGGUGCAUUCACCAGAGGUUAGCUAAUAUUUUUGCUUUAGACCUUGUGGAGAGGUCUUCUAGUUGCCUAUAUACAGACAGAAAAUGAGCAAUAAAAUGUUUGAAGGCAGUCUAACUUAGAUAAAUAUUAGUGUAUUUGCUGACACCACCAACACAGUUCAUGUCAACUCUAAAAGCUCUGUUUAAUGUGAACAUCUGGCCCAUUAUGCAGAUGUUAACGGGAGUGAAACCAUCAUGCAUGUUCUGUUUAAACAGCCUACCGUGUCACCUAGUAACAGCAUUUGACUCUUAAUAGUGUGCUUUCAAGCUGACCCUUAUCUCAGAACUUUUUCCCAGAUAUUAACAAUCCCUUUGGCUUGUACAGUUCCCAAGAGUAUCUCUUUUAUAUGGUAUAUAUCUUGUUUAGUUUGAGUUUUUUCAUUCUACACAGCAAUCUUAAAUUGCUUUCUCAUCUGCUGCUGGACCCAUCUUGUUCAUCUCAGUAGCCAGAAACAACAUAAACUGAAAUAAAAGUGUGUUUCUAUAGAAAAGUAGGAAUCCCUCUGGCUAAUCUGACAUGUUUCAUGUUGGAUCAUCCUAGCUUCUUACACUGAAACUGUCAGAAAUUACAGUUACAGCUCAAAUAUAUACAACUUCUCCUAUGCUGGACCCCCUAUCAAACCAUGAUUACUGUCAUGACUUGGAUGAGUAAUAGAAAAGAGGAAGGGUUGUUGGGUUUUGUUACAAAUAACAUACCUGUCAGUGAAGUGAAAGGCAUGCCACAUCCAAAAAUGUAAUAUAUGACAUGCUUUUCACUUCACCAGGAGGGAUAGAAGAACAAAUAAACUACAUGUUUCAAAUGUGUCAUCUUCAACUCAUAAUUUGUCUAAGCAAUUUCCUUGCUAUUGUUUUCUACUAGGUGCUCCAAUCAACAAAGAAAUUGUAUUUUAGUCUAUUUACAAAAUGCAAUGUGUUGUCUGAUGAGCAGUUCUCACUUUUGAAAAAUACGAGUGAGUAAAAGCUGAUAUAAACAAAUGCACCUCUUGUUAACAGACUCUACAAUGAAGUCCAACCCUAAAGCUGAGCUCUGCAAAUCUGCAUGAGGAACCUUGAGUUUUUGAAGACUGAAGCAUGGUUGGACGUUGCAAACGCUGCAGACAGCAGAAAAACAUCUCUGGGUCUUCUGGUAAGAAAUCUAUGUUGUCUCAAGGGCUGCUACAUGUACGGACAGUUUCUUCUCAACUCACCAUCUCCCCUUAUUUUCCACCUCAAUUUUUAUUCCCAUAUUCCUUAGCACAGUUUAGACUAUUUUCUUUUAACUGCUGCUAUAAUUCUGUGAAAAGCAAUUUGAUCAUCUUCAGUACCUUAGGUGUGUUACUAACUUCCACAUAAUAUUCUGUACAAUUGUGUUCAUAAUUGAAUAAUCUAGGUUUUACUUGCGGUGACAAGAAACAGAGGGUUUGUUUUUAAACCUCCCCAAAAUACAAAUGCUGCUGUGGAUAGAGAGCCAUGAGUCAGAAGCUGCAGAAGCCCAGUUCUUAUCCCUGGUUUGUGUGUUCUCUUGGGUAACUGUCUUGCUGCUUGCUGCAGCAUAUUAAUUAUGAAAAUGGUAGAGUACUUUGGAGUCAAAGGAAGUUAGAAAAUGAUCCGGAAAUGUAGCAGCUCAAUAAUACCUCCAUAUUAAGUAUUUCACACUGGAUUCCAUUAUAAGCGUCAUAUUCAGUCCUAUGGCUUUGCACAGGAACAAAUUUAGUGAUUACUGCCAGAGUACAAGGAAAAAAAAUUCUGGCAAAUAUGCAGGCCAUUUAUCACAGCAUACUCAAGGUAUGGAAGACUAAAACAACUAUAUCACAACACUGGGCUAAUUAUUAGAAAAGGUUUUAAAAACAAAAUGAAAAAAAUCUGAAUUUAAAAAAAAUAUUUUUGGAAGUAUUAUCCUUAUAGGUAGCUUUUCCUAGAUGAUUACUUUGAUCAUCCAUCAACCCAGACAUGCUUUUUUUUAUGCGGGAAUUUAUUAAACUCAGCACUAUAGAAGUUCAACAUGGGC